Thelonectria olida is the source of this 72-nucleotide non-coding RNA. NCBI's taxonomy places the organism in Eukaryota, Fungi, Ascomycota, Sordariomycetes, Hypocreales, Nectriaceae. The record is from the annotation of a GenBank genome assembly.
GGUUCGAUAGCUCAGUGGUAGAGCGAGAGAUUGCAGAUCUCUAGGUCACGUGUUCGAUCCACGUUCGGACCU